This 253-nucleotide ribosomal RNA is filed under the name Gemmatimonas sp. Its description in RNAcentral is "partial 16S ribosomal RNA". It matches the Rfam family "Bacterial small subunit ribosomal RNA", at positions 524 to 776 of the family's 1533-position model. The record is from RNAcentral. RNAcentral also lists the same sequence under 1 other name. Lineage: Bacteria; Pseudomonadati; Gemmatimonadota; Gemmatimonadia; Gemmatimonadales; Gemmatimonadaceae.
UACGGAGGGUGCGAGCGUUGUCCGGAAUCACUGGGCGUAAAGGGCGCGUAGGUGGCGCGGGAAGUCAACGGUGAAAGUUCGGGGCUCAACCCUGAAUCGGCCGUCGAUACUCCCGGGCUCGAGCACUGUAGAGGCAGAUGGAAUUCCGGGUGUAGCGGUGGAAUGCGUAGAGAUCCGGAAGAACACCGGUGGCGAAGGCGGUCUGCUGGGCAGUUGCUGACACUGAGGCGCGACAGCGUGGGGAGCAAACAGG